RNAcentral lists this ribosomal RNA (298 nucleotides) under uncultured soil bacterium. RNAcentral describes it as "partial 16S ribosomal RNA". It matches the Rfam family "Bacterial small subunit ribosomal RNA", at positions 26 to 348 of the family's 1533-position model. The record is from RNAcentral.
AGAACGAACGCUGGCGGCAUGCCUAACACAUGCAAGUCGAACGAAGGCUUCGGCCUUAGUGGCGCACGGGUGCGUAACGCGUGGGAAUCUGCCCCUUGGUUCGGAAUAACAGUUGGAAACGACUGCCAAUACCGGAUGAUGACGAAAGUCCAAAGAUUUAUCGCCAAGGGAUGAGCCCGCGUAGGAUUAGCUAGUUGGUGAGGUAAAGGCUCACCAAGGCGACGAUCCUUAGCUGGUCUGAGAGGAUGAUCAGCCACACUGGGACUGAGACGACCGGCCCAGACCUCCGUACGGGAGG